RNAcentral lists this ribosomal RNA (433 nucleotides) under uncultured bacterium. Its description in RNAcentral is "partial 16S ribosomal RNA". It matches the Rfam family "Bacterial small subunit ribosomal RNA", at positions 29 to 507 of the family's 1533-position model. The record is from RNAcentral.
AACGAACGCUGGCGGCAUGCCUAACACAUGCAAGUCGAACGAGACCUUCGGGUCUAGUGGCGCACGGGUGCGUAACGCGUGGGAACCUGCCCUUAGGUUCGGAAUAACUCCCCGAAAGGGGUGCUAAUACCGGAUAAUGUCUUCGGACCAAAGAUUUAUCGCUUUUGGAUGGGCCCGCGUUGGAUUAGCUAGUUGGUAGGGUAAAAGCCUACCAAGGCGACGAUCCAUAGCUGGUCGGAGAGGAUGAUCAGCCACACUGGGACUGAGACACGGCCCAGACUGCUACGGGAGGCAGCAGUGGGGAAUAUUGGACGAUGGGCGAAAGCCUGAUCCAGCAAUGCCGCGUGAGUGAUGAAGGCCUUAGGGUUGUAAAGCUCUUUUACCCGGGAUGAUAAUGACAGUACCGGGAGAAUAAGCUCCGGCUAACUCCGUG